UACGGAAGGCAGCAGUGGGGAAUAUUGCACAAUGGGCGCAAGCCUGAUGCAGCCAUGCCGCGUGUAUGAAGAAGGCCUUCGGGUUGUAAAGUACUUUCAGCGGGGAGGAAGGCGAUGCGGUUAAUAACCGCGUCGAUUGACGUUACCCGCAGAAGAAGCACCGGCUAACUCCGUGCCAGCAGCCGCGGUAAUACGGAGGGUGCAAGCGUUAAUCGGAAUUACUGGGCGUAAAGCGCACGCAGGCGGUCUGUUAAGUCAGAUGUGAAAUCCCCGGGCUUAACCUGGGAACUGCAUUUUGAACUGGCAGGCUUGAGUCUGUAGAGGGGGUGAAUUCCAGGUGUAGCGGUGAAAUGCGUAGAGAUCUGGAGGAAUACCGGUGGCGAAGGCGGCCCCUGGGCAAAGCUGACGCUCAGGUGCGAAAGCGUGGGGAGCGAAACAGGAUUAGAUACC
RNAcentral lists this ribosomal RNA (450 nucleotides) under uncultured bacterium. Its description in RNAcentral is "bacterial SSU rRNA". It matches the Rfam family "Bacterial small subunit ribosomal RNA", at positions 340 to 786 of the family's 1533-position model. The record is from RNAcentral.